AAACAAGCAGAGGGGGCUUAGUGGUGGGGUGACUGCGUACCUUUUGUAUAAUGGGUCAGCGACUUAUAUUCUGUAGCAAGGUUAACCGAAUAGGGGAGCCGGAGGGAAACCGAGUCUUAAUUGGGCGUUAAGUUGCAGGGUAUAGACCCGAAACCCGGUGAUCUAGCCAUGGGCAGGUUGAAGGUUGGGUAACACUAACUGGAGGACCGAACCGACUAAUGUUGAAAAAUUAGCGGAUGACCUGUGGCUGGGGGUGAAAGGCCAAUCAAACCGGGAGAUAGCUGGUUCUCCCCGAAAGCUAUUUAGGUAGCGCCUCGUGAAUUCAUCUCCGGGGGUAGAGCACUGUUUCGGCUAGGGGGCCAUCCCGGCUUACCAACCCGAUGCAAACUGCGAAUACCGGAGAAUGUUAUCACGGGAGACACACGGCGGGUGCUAACGUCCGUCGUGAAGAGGGAAACAACCCAGACCGCCAGCUAAGGUCCCAAAGUCAUGGUUAAGUGGGAAACGAUGUGGGAAGGCCCAGACAGCCAGGAUGUUGGCUUAGAAGCAGCCAUCAUUUAAAGAAAGCGUAAUAGCUCACUGGUCGAGUCGGCCUGCGCGGAAGAUGUAACGGGGCUAAACCAUGCACCGAAGCUGCGGCAGCGAACGUAUCACCCAAGACAACUUUACGGAGUUGACGAUUGACGGAGCGAAGCGACGUCAAAGCGUUCAUUAAAGUCGAGUUGGCUUAGGGAUACGUUCGUUGGGUAGGGGAGCGUUCUGUAAGCCUGUGAAGGUGUGUCGUGAGGCAUGCUGGAGGUAUCAGAAGUGCGAAUGCUGACAUAAGUAACGAUAAAGCGGGUGAAAAGCCCGCUCGCCGGAAGACCAAGGGUUCCUGUCCAACGUUAAUCGGGGCAGGGUGAGUCGACCCCUAAGGCGAGGC
Molecule: ribosomal RNA, 922 nt
Filed under: Salmonella enterica
Lineage: Bacteria; Pseudomonadati; Pseudomonadota; Gammaproteobacteria; Enterobacterales; Enterobacteriaceae
Description: partial 23S ribosomal RNA
Rfam family: Bacterial large subunit ribosomal RNA
Source: RNAcentral